AGGAGCUUGAGCUUGAUUUGUUCUGCGAACGAGAAAGAAUGAGAAAGACAGGGGCUGUGUUCUACUAGUUCAGUGUUUAAAAGAGAGGAGAAGAAGGAGAAGGUAGCUGCGGUGGUUGGGGUGGUGG
This is a non-coding RNA of Arachis ipaensis, 127 nucleotides long. The record is from RefSeq and is a predicted model, not a curated record. Lineage: Eukaryota; Viridiplantae; Streptophyta; Magnoliopsida; Fabales; Fabaceae.